GUGCCAGCCGCCGCGGUAAUACCGGCAGCCCGAGUGAUGGCCGAUCUUAUUGGGCCUAAAGCGUCCGUAGCUGGCCGCACGAGUCCGUCGGGAAAUCCGCCCGCUCAACGGGCGGCCGUCCGGCGGAACCUGUGUGGCUUGGGACCGGGAGGCCUGAGGGGUACGUCCGGGGUAGGAGUGAAAUCCCGUAAUCCUGGACGGACCACCGGUGGCGAAAGCGCCUCGAGAGGACGGACCCGACGGUGAGGAACGAAAGCCAGGGUCUCGAACCGGAUUAGAUACCCCUGUAGUCC
This 293-nucleotide ribosomal RNA is filed under the name uncultured bacterium. RNAcentral's name for it is "partial 16S ribosomal RNA". It matches the Rfam family "Archaeal small subunit ribosomal RNA", at positions 455 to 747 of the family's 1478-position model. The record is from RNAcentral.